This 222-nucleotide small RNA is filed under the name Drosophila yakuba. RNAcentral's name for it is "GE27643". Lineage: Eukaryota; Metazoa; Arthropoda; Insecta; Diptera; Drosophilidae. The record is from RNAcentral.
AAAGCAGAUCUUUAGACAUGAUCAUUAUGCACAUUCUACCGCUUUUUAUAAUUUUUGUACUUUUACGAACGGAUCAAUGUCCUCCAACAAGACCACGUUGCCGUGAUCCACCUGAUCAAGGAUAAAAUAAAAAUACGAAUUGGGUCUUGCCGAUCAGUUGUAGUACAUUUCCUACUGUUGAACUCGGUACGAAUUUCUAAUAAAUAUUCCAUUCGUUUCAAA